GAUGAAGAACGUAGCGAAAUGCGAUAAGUAAUGCGAAUUGCAGAAUUUCCGUGAGUCAUCGAAUCUUUGAACGCACAUUGCGCCCGCCAGCAUUCUGGCGGGCAUGCCUGUCCGAGCGUCAUUUCCACCCUCAGGCCCUGCCUGGUGUUGGGGACCUGCAGCUGCUGCAGCCCCCCAAAGACAACGGCGUGCCUGCCGGGCCCCGAGCGUAGUAACACACCUCGCCUGGGAAGUCCUGCAGCGCCCUGCCGCGAACCAAACACUUCUAAGGUUGACCUCGGAUCAGGUAGGAAUACCCGCUGAACUUAAGCAUAUCAAUAAGCGGAGGA
Molecule: unclassified non-coding RNA, 329 nt
Filed under: soil metagenome
Description: partial contains 5.8S ribosomal RNA, internal transcribed spacer 2, and large subunit ribosomal RNA
Rfam family: 5.8S ribosomal RNA (bases 1-121)
Source: RNAcentral